CUGCAACACAUCUCCCCAUGGGGGCCUGGUGUGCAGUGGCUGCAGACAGCAGCCUCCUUGGUAGUGUAUGUGGCCUGUUUCCUGUACAGGUUGCCCUAAAGGACCUUGAAGACUGCC
Molecule: small nucleolar RNA, 117 nt
Filed under: Dasypus novemcinctus (nine-banded armadillo)
Lineage: Eukaryota; Metazoa; Chordata; Mammalia; Cingulata; Dasypodidae
Description: Small nucleolar RNA SNORA70 (ENSDNOG00000029760.1)
Rfam family: Small nucleolar RNA SNORA70
About the family: snoRNA U70 seems to be exclusive to mammals and is a member of the H/ACA class of snoRNA which contain H (ANANNA) and ACA box motifs. H/ACA box snoRNAs are involved in the conversion of uridines to pseudouridines (5-ribosyluracil) a constituent of structural RNAs (transfer, ribosomal, small nuclear, and small nucleolar).
Source: RNAcentral